CAAUAGCGUAUAUUAAAGUUGUUGCAGUUAAAAAGCUCGUAGUUGGAUUUCUGGUUUGAACGUCCGGUCGACCUUGUGUCAGUACUAUGGAUGUUUGGGCCAUAUUUUGUGAGGAUGCCUUGCUGCCAUUGAGUUGGUGGUUUGGUGAACUUGCAUCGUUUACUGUGAAAAAAUUAGAGUGUUUAAAGCAGGCGUUUGCUCAUUUGAAUACAUUAGCAUGGAAUAAUAAGAUACGACCUUGGUGGUCUAUUUUGUUGGUUUGCACGCCAGGGUAAUGAUUAAUAGGGACAGUUGGGGGUAUUCAUAUUUCAACGUCAGAGGUGAAAUUCUUGGAUCGUUGGAAGAUGAGCUUAGGCGAAAGCAUUUACCAAGGAUGUUUNCAUUAA
RNAcentral lists this ribosomal RNA (386 nucleotides) under uncultured eukaryote. RNAcentral's name for it is "partial 18S ribosomal RNA". It matches the Rfam family "Eukaryotic small subunit ribosomal RNA", at positions 592 to 976 of the family's 1831-position model. The record is from RNAcentral.